AACGCAUAUUGCACCCGAGGCUUCGGCUAAGGGUAUGUCUGCCUCAGCGUCGAUGUAACCCUCAUUCACACAUACCAUGUGAGUGGAUCUGACCGUCCCGCAUAUUUGGGUCCCCUCAAGGAUUCAUUCGUGCGGGUCGGUUGAAGUUUGCAGAAGCUGAGAUGGACCGUCAUCACGGGACCUUUAUUCGUCGGUAAAACGAUGUCUAAAAAGGGCCACAUCUAGGUAGGCAAAGCCUGUCUUUCACGAGACUCGCCAAGCAUACUUUAGAGGUUGGUUCACCCUUGCUGUUGACGGCUCUGUAUGUCUCAUGCUUUCAAAACUGGAUUCGGAGGCGCAAGGGAAGGCGGUUCCUCUUUGGAGCUACCGACUCGAGUGUUUCUUCAUUCUUACAAAUUCGACCUGAGCUCAGGCAAGAACACCCGCUGAACUUAA
Molecule: unclassified non-coding RNA, 435 nt
Filed under: uncultured fungus
Lineage: Eukaryota; Fungi
Description: partial contains ITS1, 5.8S rRNA and ITS2
Source: RNAcentral